Molecule: ribosomal RNA, 153 nt
Filed under: Campylobacter jejuni
Lineage: Bacteria; Pseudomonadati; Campylobacterota; Epsilonproteobacteria; Campylobacterales; Campylobacteraceae
Description: partial 16S ribosomal RNA
Rfam family: Bacterial small subunit ribosomal RNA
Source: RNAcentral
CAGAGGAAGGAAGCGUUAAUCGGAAGUACUGGGCGGAAAGCGCGCGUAGGUGGUUCAGCAAGUUGGAUGUGAAAUCCGCGGGCUCAACAUGCGAACUGCAUCCAAAACUACUAGACUAGAGGACGGUAGAGGGAUAUGGAAUUCUCUGCGUAG